AGGGUUUGAUCAUGGCUCAGAACGUACGCUGGCGGCACGCCUAACACAUGCAAGUCGAACGAAGUAGCAAUACUUAGUGGCAGACGGGUGAGUAACAUGUAGGUAUCUGCCCUUUGGCCUGGAAUAACACGAGGAAACUUGUGCUAAUACCGGAUAAGUCUUUACGGAGAAAGCUUUAUGCACCAUUGGAUGAGCCUGCACUUGAUUAGUUUGUUGGUAGGGUAAUGGCCUACCAAGACUGUGAUCAAUAGCUGAUUUGAGAGGAUGAUCAGCCACAUUGGGACUGAGACACGGCCCAAACUCCUACGGGAGGCAGCAGUGGGGAAUCUUGCACAAUGGAGGAAACUCUGAUGCAGCGAUGCCGCGUGAGUGAAGAAGGCCUUUGGGUUGUAAAGCUCUUUCGUCGGGGAAGAAAAUGACUGUACCCGAAUAAGAAGGUCCGGCUAACUUCGUGCCAGCAGCCGCGGUAAUACGAAGGGACCUAGCGUAGUUCGGAAUUACUGGGCUUAAAGAGUUCGUAGGUGGUUAAAAAAGUUGGUGGUGAAAUCCCAGAGCUUAACUCUGGAACUGCCAUCAAAACUAUUUAGCUAGAGUAUGAUAGAGGAAAGCAGAAUUUCUAGUGUAGAGGUGAAAUUCGUAGAUAUUAGAAAGAAUACCAAUUGCGAAGGCAGCUUUCUGGAUCAUUACUGACGCUGAGGAACGAAAGCAUGGGUAGCGAAGAGGAUUAGAUACCCUCGUAGUCCAUGCCGUAAACGAUGUGUGUUAGACGUUGGAAAUUUAUUUUCAGUGUCGCAGCGAAAGCAUUAAACACACCGCCUGGGGAGUACGACCGCAAGGUUAAAACUCAAAUGAAUUGACGGGGACCCGCACAAGUAGUGGAGCAUGUGGUUUAAUUCGAAGAUACGCGCAGAACCUUACCAACACUUGACAUGUUUGUCGCGACUCUAAGAGAUUAGAGUCUUCGGUUCGGCCGGACAAAACACAGGUGCUGCAUGGCUGUCGUCAGCUCGUGUCGUGAGAUGUUGGGUUAAGUCCCGCAACGAGCGCAACCCUCACUUUUAGUUGCCAUCAUUAAGUUGGGCACUCUGAAAGAACUGCCAGUGAUAAGCUGGAGGAAGGUGGGGAUGACGUCAAGUCCUCAUGGCCCUUACGUGUUGGGCUACACACGUGCUACAAUGGCAUUUACAAUAGGAAGCAAGAUGGCGACAUCAAGCAAAUCCUAAAAAGAUGCCUCAGUUCGGAUUGUACUCUGCAACUCGAGUACAUGAAGCUGGAAUUACUAGUAAUCGCGGAUCAGCGCGCCGCGGUGAAUACGUUCCCGGGUCUUGUACACACCGCCCGUCACACCAUGGGAGUUGGUUCUACCUUAAGGCAAGGUUUUAAACCCUUGACUACGGUAUAGUCAGCGACUGGGGUGAAGUCAUAACAAGGUAACCGUA
Molecule: ribosomal RNA, 1439 nt
Filed under: uncultured bacterium
Lineage: Bacteria
Description: bacterial SSU rRNA
Rfam family: Bacterial small subunit ribosomal RNA
Source: RNAcentral